RNAcentral lists this ribosomal RNA (267 nucleotides) under Escherichia coli. RNAcentral describes it as "partial 16S ribosomal RNA". It matches the Rfam family "Bacterial small subunit ribosomal RNA", at positions 1 to 264 of the family's 1533-position model. Lineage: Bacteria; Pseudomonadati; Pseudomonadota; Gammaproteobacteria; Enterobacterales; Enterobacteriaceae. The record is from RNAcentral. RNAcentral also lists the same sequence under 2 other names.
AAAUUGAAGAGUUUGAUCAUGGCUCAGAUUGAACGCUGGCGGCAGGCCUAACACAUGCAAGUCGAACGGUAACAGGAAGCAGCUUGCUGCUUCGCUGACGAGUGGCGGACGGGUGAGUAAUGUCUGGGAAACUGCCUGAUGGAGGGGGAUAACUACUGGAAACGGUAGCUAAUACCGCAUAACGUCGCAAGACCAAAGAGGGGGACCUUCGGGCCUCUUGCCAUCGGAUGUGCCCAGAUGGGAUUAGCUUGUUGGUGGGGUAACGGC